This is a non-coding RNA of Phrynosoma platyrhinos (Desert horned lizard), 72 nucleotides long. The record is from the annotation of a GenBank genome assembly. NCBI's taxonomy places the organism in Eukaryota, Metazoa, Chordata, Lepidosauria, Squamata, Phrynosomatidae.
GCCAGUGUGGUAUAGUGCUUUGAACAUUGGAUUAUCACUCUGGAGUUCAGAGUUCGAAUCCCUGUUUUGCCA